AACGUAGGAGACGAACGUUAUCCGGAGUUACUGGGCGUAAAGGGCGUGUAGGCGGUUUGUUAAGUCUGGCGUGAAAGCUCUCGGCUAAACCGGGAGAGGUCGUUGGAUACUGGCGAACUAGAGGAUGGUAGAGGCGUGUGGAAUUCCGGGUGUAGUGGUGAAAUGCGUAGAGAUCCGGAGGAACCCCAGUGGCGAAGGCGGCUUUCUGGGCAUUUCCUGACGCUGAGACGCGAAAGCGUGGGGAGCGAACCGG
RNAcentral lists this ribosomal RNA (253 nucleotides) under uncultured bacterium. RNAcentral describes it as "partial 16S ribosomal RNA". It matches the Rfam family "Bacterial small subunit ribosomal RNA", at positions 524 to 776 of the family's 1533-position model. The record is from RNAcentral.